Nelumbo nucifera (sacred lotus) is the source of this 2253-nucleotide long non-coding RNA. RefSeq lists it as uncharacterized. The record is from RefSeq and is a predicted model, not a curated record. NCBI's taxonomy places the organism in Eukaryota, Viridiplantae, Streptophyta, Magnoliopsida, Proteales, Nelumbonaceae.
CUAUGCUUAUGAGGAGCUUCCGUAAAAAUUAAGUACAGGAGAUAUUUUCAAUGCAUAGUAGAAUGUGCGUAUGAGGCGUCUUAUGCUUGUAAGGAGCAGAUCCGGUCUCGAAGGAAUUGCUAUUUGCUAAUCGCUAAACUUGCGAGAGAAGAAAUCUGCUGCGACCAUGGUCGCAUGCGACCCACAAUGGAUUAAAUUGCUGGCAUUUCCCAUUCCUGAAUCCUGAUUCCCCCAGCAAAUAGGGAAAAGCUAAAGCAGUUUCUCACUUUGUCUUUCUCAGGUGGGAGCAGGGCCAACCAAGCACCCAACCAUUCCAAAUUCCUAAACGAGCCCAGCACUCCAGCAGCGCGUGUGUUGGCGUUGGUUACCAAUGCUUUAUUUAUUUAUUAAUACAUUUUUCAUUUCUUUGUUUAUUUGUCAUCACUGAAAAAUCAAAAUAGGUAAAGCAAACCGCCAUUAAGACCCCAAAAUUCUUGCAUGGAGACAUGAGAUGAGAAUGAAAUCCUCCCUGAUUUUUUUUUUUUUAUUUCAGACUGCCCAGAAAAAAUGGUGGAGUUUUUUUAAGGUAUUUUUUAAAUGGGGCUAUGGCUAUAGAGAGUGAAGAAAAAAUGGUGGAGUUUUUCAAAUUUUUUUUCAUUAUUUAAGCAUGUUAAAUGUUGUUUUCCAUGAUUUCUUGCAGUACCAGAAAAGUCCUGAAAAGGGUCUUCGAUUUGAAAGGGGUUCUUUCUAGGGUUUUGCCCACUAAAUAUCCCCACCUUUUCUUCUCUAUCUGUAUUUACUGUUUCUUUUUAUGGGUUCAGCGUUGAACUAUUACGCUUUUAGUUUUGGUUUUAACAGUCACUUUUAGUUAAUCGUAGCUUGCUCUCAGCUUCACUUCAGACAUAGUUCAAUUCUGCUCCACAAAAGCCAGAACCACCAAAGAACAUUUUUCCUUCUUUUAUUUUCCCAUUUUCCUUUUCUGUACAAGCCUCCCUAGAUCCCGUUUAUCACUCUCCCCGGUUUUGGUGAAGCGAAAAAUCAUUUUUUUAUACAAGGUUUGUGUUGGUAGCUCUGCAACUUUUACUGUUCUAAGUUGCAGAACCACGAAACCCAGAAUAACUGUUGUGUUUUGAACAAAUAAACUUUAAUAAAAAUCUCAUCUUUCACUCUCCUAUGCCUUGGAGCAUCAAAAUAAAUCUCUUUCUCCAACCUUUCUUUUCUCUAAGUUUCUUUCCGCUUUUAGUGCUCUCAGUCUCCGCAAGUUUCUCAUCUGCCUUUAGUGCUCUCAGUCUCCGCAAGUUUCUCAUCUGCCUUUAGUGCUCUCAGUCUCAGUCUCAGUCUCCGCAAGUAGCACAACACUUGAACAACAAAAAAGUUUCAGCUUUUAGACCUCGAUUUGUAGGAAGGUAAAAAAGGAAGAAUCGGUCUUGUGAGUUGUAGUGAAAUGUCAAUGCCAUUAGAGCAGCAGCAACCGCCACCCAUGGUUGUUAAUCAGCAGGCUUUCAGCAGUCACUCGAGUCACGGAUCAGUCGGGCCACUGAUUGCCGUUCUUGCCGUGAUAACAAUCUUGGGAGUUGUGGCCGGGAUGAUUGGACGACUCUGCUCAGGAAGGAGUAUCAUGGGCCAUGGGCAAUACGAUUUCGAAGGAUGGGUGGAGAGAAAGUGCUCAUCUUGCAUCGACGGGAGGAUCGAUCCCCCCCCACCACCACCUCCUAAUACGAACGUCGCCGGCGACUCCAUCCCGAUAGCAAUUCCAGUCGGAACUCCUAAGCAGACAGAACAGCCUCCUCAGAACCCACCUACAGCCAUUGAUUCCUGACAUGGGGGCCGCUGGUCUCUCCUCUACCUGGGAUUUUCACCAUCAUUUUCUUGCCUUAUACAUACAUGUCAGGAGAAUGAGCAGAUGGUGAGAUGAUGAAGUUGGGUUGUUUUUCUUUUUUAUAAUUUUUUUUUCUUUCUUUCAUGGAUGGAAGAGAAUUACACAAGUCGAGUUUCUAUCUUUCUUUCUCUUUUUUUUUCUAAUUUCUUUUACGGUUUGUCUACUUUCUAGAUACCCAAUCACCAUUACCAAUAGACCUAUCAUGGCUACUUGGGCUGUAAUUUUUUCCUGGAUUCGUUCCCAUUAUCAGAUCAUUGCCUCCAUCCAUCCAUCACCUUAAAUUUAACUAAUCCUAGAAAUUAGAAAUUAUUAUCUUAUUAGUUUUCCUGCUAUGUCUUGAUAAAAAUUGGAAGAAACAAAUUGCAUCAGUGCCUGCUCAUUUUGAGAGGUUGAGA